This 338-nucleotide unclassified non-coding RNA is filed under the name Hevea brasiliensis (rubber tree). The record is from RNAcentral. Lineage: Eukaryota; Viridiplantae; Streptophyta; Magnoliopsida; Malpighiales; Euphorbiaceae.
GAAAUGUAAUGUCGAAAAUAACUAUGGAGAGCCUGAAAUAUAACAUCGAGAAGAAACUCUUUUAGUUGUUUACGAGCUUCUUUGUUUAGUUUACGGUCAAAGGGCAACGGCAAGCAGCAUUUUUCCCGGGACAAUUGUAUUUGUAAUUAUACAUUAUGUGUGCCGUAAAUUCUACAUUAUUAUGUAUAGCCUAAUGGCCUGGGUAGUUCUAGUAUUAGGAUCUGAAUUCUAGUGCUUGAACUGAUACAAAGAUGUGAAGCAACGAUUUGUUUCAGGUUGCAAAAGCUUGAAAGUGGUGUUUUAUGAGCUGUCUGUGCGGUAGAACUUUUGGAGGAAUA